Molecule: long non-coding RNA, 240 nt
Filed under: Olea europaea (common olive)
Lineage: Eukaryota; Viridiplantae; Streptophyta; Magnoliopsida; Lamiales; Oleaceae
Description: long non-coding RNA (OEUR_LNC010273)
Source: RNAcentral
UCUUGGAAGGCAAGGGAACAUUUGGAAGGUAAGGAUUUAUUCUUGGAAGGCAAGUGGGAACUUGGAAGGCAAGGAUUAUUCUUGGAAGGCAAGGUGCAACUUGGAUUGGCUUGCUUGGCACUUUGUCAGACCAGGUGGGGAGCGCUCGGACCCUGGCCAGUUGGAGGCACAUCCUGCGAUUAACCGGACUGUGUGAAGAGGGGCCGGAUCACAGACCCAAGGAUUAGUCAAGAAUUGGAC